RNAcentral lists this ribosomal RNA (433 nucleotides) under uncultured bacterium. RNAcentral's name for it is "partial 16S ribosomal RNA". It matches the Rfam family "Bacterial small subunit ribosomal RNA", at positions 29 to 507 of the family's 1533-position model. The record is from RNAcentral.
AACGAACGCUGGCGGCAUGCCUAACACAUGCAAGUCGAACGAGACCUUCGGGUCUAGUGGCGCACGGGUGCGUAACGCGUGGGAACCUGCCCUUAGGUUCGGAAUAACUCCCCGAAAGGGGUGCUAAUACCGGAUAAUGUCUUCGGACCAAAGAUUUAUCGCCUUUGGAUGGGCCCGCGUUGGAUUAGCUAGUUGGUAGGGUAAAAGCCUACCAAGGCGACGAUCCAUAGCUGGUCUGAGAGGAUGAUCAGCCACACUGGGACUGAGACACGGCCCAGACUCCUACGGGAGGCAGCAGUGGGGAAUAUUGGACAAUGGGCGAAAGCCUGAUCCGGCAAUGCCGCGUGAGUGAUGAAGGCCUUAGGGUUGUAAAGCUCUUCUACCCGGGAUGAUAAUGACAGUACCGGGAGAAUAAGCUCCGGCUAACUCCGUG